ACUUAGAAAAGAAGAAUCUCCUCAGAAGUGUCAAGCAGCAUAUCGCAGGGUGGCAGCGAGAUGUGUAGAUCAAGAGAAAGCCGCUGCUUACCGGACAACAGAUAGCAGUCCUUCCUUGUCAAAACCGACACACCUGAAGCCAAAGGAGGUGUAUUUCGUAUUAAGAGUACGAGCUGCUCAGCUUCGCAGAAGAGCUUACCUCAAGAAGAUCCAAGUCCCGGAGGUAUCACGCUGCCGCCACUUCACGACUGACUCUGAAACACUCGCUCAUAGCCUCGACCAUUGCCCACACAAAAUAGGCAGCAGGGUACACACUAGGCAAAACAGGGCGCUGGAGAGGAACACAAAGUAUAUCAAGAGCAGCGAGAAUAACAGGGGGAGGACGUUCAGCAUUGGUAGUUUCCCAGAAGAGGUGCAGACAUUAUUGAGGCCAGAGAUCAUCCUGAUAGCCAAAAUACGCAUGACGAUGGUAAUAGCAGAUGGGGCUAUUCUCUUCGAGGACUACAAAACGAACUCAAUGGGCGCAGCCAGCAUUCGUGAUGAAGAGAAGUACCAAAGCCUCAAGACACUGUGGAAAACCGGGGCAUCGGGUGGCAGUGCAGGCUUUAGUCUAUGGAUCAGUAGGUUGUACUGCACAAGAAAGUAAAAAGGUGCUUACAAAGGAGCUUGGGAUCGUCGACCCCCGAUCAUGGGCUAUCCGCCGUGCCAUUAGUACUGACUGCAUCCGACAUAGCUAUCAUAUCUGGGGUCUUCAGUUAGCUGGCAAUGGUACAUGACGAGCACGAGGCGAAGGCUGUUCUCGUGCGAGCACCGCACAGACUGCAUAAUGAUCGAAUGGUGUGAUAACUGACGAGGUUUGUACCAAUUUGUUGUGAAGAGUUCGAGCAUGCGGGACCGAAUGCGGGGCCGAGAGCCAUUUGACUCGUAUGGGAGCUGAAACAGUAUGAGGACUUAGGUGAAUUGGGGUGUAGGGGGAUGAUGUUGGUUCAGUCUCCACAGGUGUGAGGCGUCAACAGCUGGCCAGUGGGUGAUCAUGCGAGAGCAGGUGGCAGGCGGCGUGGCUGAUGCUUUCGGCUGCUGCGGUUGUUGUUGUGGUUUUAGCGGCAACGCGGCAGUUGCUGAGUGUUCAUUCGGUUGAAGAAGCAGAACCAGUUUCUGCGGACGGGUCGCCUUGUAAUCGUGGAUGCUUCAGCUGUUUGGCAAAGAGGCUCGUUGAUGACAAGGCGCGCAGGAGGAGCAGAGAAGACUCUCUGUUGGGGGGAGACUGUGGGCGGAUAAGGAAUGCGACCUUGGCCUUCUAAGGAGGGUCGGUAACUUCGGUUACUGCAUCACUUCUCAGAGGGGCUUUGCGCGUCGAACGCAAGGACGUCUGAGGCAAUAACAGGUCGGUGAAGCCCGGAGAUGUUCUGGGCUGCACGCUCGCUACACUGAUGCAGGCAACGAGCUCUUACCUUGACAGACGGGGCUUGGUAAUCUUGUGAGAGUGCAUCGUGGUAGGGGUAGAUUGUCAGUCUUCAACGAGGGGUGUCUAAUAGGCCUAGUAUGCCUAGUAGACGCAACUCGAUCAGCUCCCUGCCUCUUGUAUACACCGCCUAUCGCUGCUACCGAGCGGAGGGUCCUGUUAAUUCAUCGGACUGGCCAGCACUAAUGUGGGGCUGGCCGGAAAGUUGCAUUAAUACAGUCCUCUGAAGAAUGGUCGUGUAAUAGGACAGUUUCCGUAGGUGAGCCUGCGGGAGUAUUCGCA
Eimeria acervulina is the source of this 1744-nucleotide non-coding RNA. Lineage: Eukaryota; Apicomplexa; Conoidasida; Eucoccidiorida; Eimeriidae. The record is from Rfam.